UACGUAGGGGGCAAGCGUUGUCCGGAUUUAUUGGGCGUAAAGAGCGUGUAGGCGGCCAAACAGGUCCACUGUUAAAACUCGAGGCUCAACCUCGAGAGGUCGGUGGAAACCGUCUGGCUAGAGUCCGGAAGAGGAGAGUGGAAUUCCCGGUGUAGCGGUGAAAUGCGCAGAUAUCGGGAAGAACACCCGUGGCGAAGGCGGCUCUCUGGGACGGUACUGACGCUGAGACGCGAAAGCGUGGGGAGCGAACAGG
Molecule: ribosomal RNA, 253 nt
Filed under: uncultured bacterium
Lineage: Bacteria
Description: partial 16S ribosomal RNA
Rfam family: Bacterial small subunit ribosomal RNA
Source: RNAcentral